UCGCCCUUCAAGUUUGAUCCUGCUCUUGAUGAUCUCUGGCGGCGUGCCUCAGCAUGCAAGUCGAGCGGGGCUAUGUUGGACCGUAAGGGAAGAUAUCGCCUACCGGCGAACGGGUGAGUAACAGGUGGGUAACCUACCUGUAACACAGGGAUUACGAUUCCAAAGGGUCGCUGAUACCUGAUAAUAUCUGAUCCUCGGAUGGCACUUCGAAGAAGGGGGAAACCCGCUUUCAGAUGGGCCCGCGUCCCAUCAGCUAGUUUGUAAGGUAAUGGCUUACCCUGGCGACUACCGGUAUCCAGUCUGAUAUGAUGUACGGCCACACUGGUACUGAGAUACAGCCCACACUCCUACUGGAGGCAGCAUUUGGGAAUCUUAUGCAGUGGGCGAAAGCCUGACCUAUCUACCCCCCGCGGCGGAAGAAUGCCUUCCGGUCAUAUACCUCUAUCAUGGGGGACUAACGAAGUGACUGUACCCCUGCAUGACGCCCCUGCUGCCUAUCUGCCAGCAGCCGCGGUAAUACGUACGGGGCUAGCGUUAUCCUGAAUUAUUGUGCGUGCUGGGCGAGUAGGCUGUCUGUUAAGUCUUGUGU
This 589-nucleotide ribosomal RNA is filed under the name uncultured bacterium. RNAcentral describes it as "bacterial SSU rRNA". It matches the Rfam family "Bacterial small subunit ribosomal RNA", at positions 1 to 595 of the family's 1533-position model. The record is from RNAcentral.